UCCGUGAGAUGGAAUCUGAAGGAAAGCUGGAGGCAAAAUUCCAACCCGAGGAACACGAACAUCAUCAGACUCUCACAGAGUAAGGCUGAUGAACAAGUCAAAGCAAGCUAUCGGGAGGUGGAAACGUGAAUGGUACGGGG
RNAcentral lists this non-coding RNA (140 nucleotides) under Bacillus smithii. The record is from RNAcentral. Lineage: Bacteria; Bacillati; Bacillota; Bacilli; Caryophanales; Bacillaceae.